UCUCCCUCUCUCCCUCUCACCCUCUCCCUCUCUCCUUUUUUGAUGAACACCCUGGAAAGGAGGAGGAUAGUGCCUCAAGAAGACUUGGUUUGCUAGGAUUUGCGUAGUUCCGUAAAAAACAAGCUUUUGAGCUUUAAAGUAAAUGAUGGGGGGUGGGCGCGGGAAGUGCUUCUUGGCUUAGCCCGUUGGAACCAGGGAGGAGGUGGCCACUUGUCCUGGGAAGACUGGCGGUCCGACGAGCUGCCCCUCUGCAGCGCAGCAGCCGGGCAAGGCGCUUCCUCGUAUUUUCAGUUAACCACAGAAUUUCAAGGGAUUAGCCGAACUCCAUCUCUUUUAAUGAACUAUUCAGAAGGUCAUUUGUUUGAUGUGGGACUUAGUAUGUUUCGGUUUCUAAUCAACUACUUUACCGAACCGUUGUGGAAGGAGAAGCCUUAGGUGGCAGUAUCGAAGCCAAAAGCUUCCAGAAUUGGCUUCUGAAAAAUAAGAGUUAAAUGCACAUGAGUAAGCAAAUACAGGAAUCCGAAAAACCACAGGCAGUCCGUGGCAGAUCAAGCCUAGUACAUUUCCAGCACUUCAGGAGAGUUCUUGCCCAACCUGUUCAAUAUUCAUCUCAAAUGCCAUCGUGAAGGACUGAAAUGCAGAUAAGUCGUUAGAAAACUUUUGUAGGAAAAGUGCCUCGUGUGAUCAGAACAAAGCUGUUUUAUAAUCAGAUUUACCAAGCGAAGAAGGAGUAUCGGCGAACGGAAGCUGCAGUGUUCUGUCACCAGGAAACACUGCAUUUUACAGAGUCGAACUGGCCAUGUACUGUGAAAACCCUUCCCCUGUCAGCAUGGGUACAAUCCAGCAUCUGCACCUAAAUAUAAAGGCCAGAAAAGGAAUGCUGUUGUCAAGAUGUAACAUGGCUCUUGGUUUGUACUAAGCUGCUUCUGACAAAAUUCAUGCUCUCCUGACUAGCUAAAGAACUGGAUUCAUUUUCACUAUCUUUAUUGAAGUGUGGUAAACAAAGAACAGCACAUACUCCGUGGGUACUUUGAGUGUGGACAUAUGUAAACACCUGUGAUGCUGUGACCCCAAUCACCCAUAAUCAAGGGGCCUGGAUUAUUUCUCUUCUCCUUCGUCAUUGUCCCAAAUCUUUUAUGAAGGAAUCUUCUAUCUCAAAGAAUCUGAACAUUUUACUCUAUUCCACCAUCUCACUACAUCAUUAGUUCCCUGAAAGUGCACCCUGGAAUUUAUUGAACUGUCCACUACUGCUAACGAGUCCUUCUGAAAGCAGAAGAGCAGCUGUGUAAUGGACGAGACAAGCAACUUAGACAUUGAGCUCAUGCAUGGCUUUCUAUGGUGUGAGAAUGGAAAUUGCUUCUAAGAAACACAACUUUUACAAUGUGGUUUGUUUGCCUAUUCUUCAGAUAACUAAAUUUAAAUUCAUGGGUAUUUUUUUAAGUAGCAGUUCUGGCUGAAAUUGUCAGUUGGAGGAAUAGAAGUUUUAAUUGUAAAUGUGUUAAUUGUUUAUACUGUUUUAUAUUAAUAUGACUUAAAUAAAACUUAGAAAAGGAAUACAGAUGAUGUAAAGAUCAGUGCCUCUGUAAUUAAUUAAUUACCAAUGAUGGUAAUAUAAUGUGUUUUUGUCACCCCAUGCUGCAUUCAAUAAAAAUAAAGCUAAUGGCUUAGAAUUUUUAAAAGAU
Cricetulus griseus (Chinese hamster) is the source of this 1682-nucleotide non-coding RNA. The record is from RefSeq and is a predicted model, not a curated record. Lineage: Eukaryota; Metazoa; Chordata; Mammalia; Rodentia; Cricetidae.